Molecule: ribosomal RNA, 1472 nt
Filed under: human gut metagenome
Description: bacterial LSU rRNA
Rfam family: Bacterial large subunit ribosomal RNA
Source: RNAcentral
AGAACCCCGGCGAGGGGAGUGAAAAAGAACCUGAAACCGUGUACGUACAAGCAGUGGGAGCCUCUUUAUGGGGUGACUGCGUACCUUUUGUAUAAUGGGUCAGCGACUUAUAUUCUGUAGCAAGGUUAACCGUAUAGGGGAGCCGCAGGGAAACCGAGUCUUAACUGGGCGUUAAGUUGCAGGGUAUAGACCCGAAACCCGGUGAUCUAGCCAUGGGCAGGUUGAAGGUUGGGUAACACUAACUGGAGGACCGAACCGACUAAUGUUGAAAAAUUAGCGGAUGACUUGUGGCUGGGGGUGAAAGGCCAAUCAAACCGGGAGAUAGCUGGUUCUCCCCGAAAGCUAUUUAGGUAGCGCCUCGUGAACUCAUCUUCGGGGGUAGAGCACUGUUUCGGCUAGGGGGUCAUCCCGACUUACCAACCCGAUGCAAACUACGAAUACCGAAGAAUGUUAUCACGGGAGACACACGGCGGGUGCUAACGUCCGUCGUGAAGAGGGAAACAACCCAGACCGCCAGCUAAGGUCCCAAAGUCAUGGUUAAGUGGGAAACGAUGUGGGAAGGCACAGACAGCCAGGAUGUUGGCUUAGAAGCAGCCAUCAUUUAAAGAAAGCGUAAUAGCUCACUGGUCGAGUCGGCCUGCGCGGAAGAUGUAACGGGGCUAAACCAUGCACCGAAGCUGCGGCAGCGACGCUUAUGCGUUGUUGGGUAGGGGAGCGUUCUGUAAGCCGUUGAAGGUGGCCUGUGAGGGUUGCUGGAGGUAUCAGAAGUGCGAAUGCUGACAUAAGUAACGAUAAAGCGGGUGAAAAGCCCGCUCGCCGGAAGACCAAGGGUUCCUGUCCAACGUUAAUCGGGGCAGGGUGAGUCGACCCCUAAGGCGAGGCCGAAAGGCGUAGUCGAUGGGAAACAGGUUAAUAUUCCUGUACUUGGUGUUACUGCGAAGGGGGGACGGAGAAGGCUAUGUUAGCCGGGCGACGGUUGUCCCGGUUUAAGCAUGUAGGCUGGUUAUCCAGGCAAAUCCGGAUAAUCAAGGCUGAGGUGUGAUGACGAGGCACUACGGUGCUGAAGUAACAAAUGCCCUGCUUCCAGGAAAAGCCUCUAAGCAUCAGGUAACAUCAAAUCGUACCCCAAACCGACACAGGUGGUCAGGUAGAGAAUACCAAGGCGCUUGAGAGAACUCGGGUGAAGGAACUAGGCAAAAUGGUGCCGUAACUUCGGGAGAAGGCACGCUGAUAUGUAGGUGAAGCCCCUGCGGGUGGAGCUGAAAUCAGUCGAAGAUACCAGCUGGCUGCAACUGUUUAUUAAAAACACAGCACUGUGCAAACACGAAAGUGGACGUAUACGGUGUGACGCCUGCCCGGUGCCGGAAGGUUAAUUGAUGGGGUUAUCCGUAAGGAGAAGCUCUUGAUCGAAGCCCCGGUAAACGGCGGCCGUAACUAUAACGGUCCUAAGGUAGCGAAAUUCCUUGUCGGGU